GAUUGAACGCUGGCGGCAGGCCUAACCCAUGCAAGUCGAACGGUAACCGGAAGAAGCUUGCUUCUUUGCUGACGAGUGGCGGACGGGUGAGUAAUGUCUGGGAAACUGCCUGAUGGAGGGGGAUAACUACUGGAAACGGUAGCUAAUACCGCAUAACGUCGCAAGACCAAAGAGGGGGACCUUCGGGCCUCUUGCCAUCGGAUGUGCCCAGAUGGGAUUAGCUUGUUGGUGGGGUAACGGCUCACCAAGGCGACGAUCCCUAGCUGGUCUGAGAGGAUGACCAGCCACACUGGAACUGAGACACGGUCCAGACUCCUACGGGAGGCAGCAGUGGGGAAUAUUGCACAAUGGGCGCAAGCCUGAUGCAGCCAUGCCGCGUGUAUGAAGAAGGCCUUCGGGUUGUAAAGUACUUUCAGCGGGGAGGAAGGGAGUAAAGUUAAUACCUUGGCUCAUUGACGUUACCCGCAGAAGAAGCACCGGCUAACUCCGUG
Molecule: ribosomal RNA, 491 nt
Filed under: uncultured bacterium
Lineage: Bacteria
Description: partial 16S ribosomal RNA
Rfam family: Bacterial small subunit ribosomal RNA
Source: RNAcentral